CUCGAGGUCGUCUAGUUGGUUUAUGGCGUUGGACUGUAACUGCAAUUUGCUAUCCAAAUGUCGGCGGUUCGAAUCCGCCUCUCGAGA
RNAcentral lists this transfer RNA (87 nucleotides) under Emericellopsis atlantica. It matches the Rfam family "tRNA". Rfam says of the family: Transfer RNA (tRNA) molecules are approximately 80 nucleotides in length. Their secondary structure includes four short double-helical elements and three loops (D, anti-codon, and T loops). Lineage: Eukaryota; Fungi; Ascomycota; Sordariomycetes; Hypocreales; Bionectriaceae. The record is from Rfam by way of RNAcentral. RNAcentral also lists the same sequence under 1 other name.